RNAcentral lists this non-coding RNA (45 nucleotides) under Schistosoma mattheei. The record is from RNAcentral. Lineage: Eukaryota; Metazoa; Platyhelminthes; Trematoda; Strigeidida; Schistosomatidae.
AUUCAGCUGACAAGUUCCAAAUAAGACGAAACGCACGUCCUAAAU